Long non-coding RNA from Lolium rigidum, 2461 nucleotides. RefSeq lists it as uncharacterized. The transcript has 3 exons. The record is from RefSeq and is a predicted model, not a curated record. Lineage: Eukaryota; Viridiplantae; Streptophyta; Magnoliopsida; Poales; Poaceae.
GCCGAAUUCGGCCAGCAACGGAGUCUACGACUAGGCCGAACCGGAAGAAAAGGUCCCCUCUCGAAUGCUAGGUUUUUUUUUGUCGGCGCACCCUAGCUGGCGGUUCUCCCUAGCCCUCGUCUUCGUUAGAUUCUCCCCACCUUUGAUACGUCAAAACAUUUGGUCAUCCGUUCCACCAGAUUUUGGUCGUCCGUCCCACCAAAACAAGGAAGGUGAUGCUGAUUUUUAAUCAAUCGCUGCCGUCUCCUUCCGCAUCUAGAUGCCUCUCUUCGUGGGUGACAGCCAUCUGCCCAUCUCUUCCGCAUCCGGCGCCACCACACCUCCUCCUCCAACGCCUUCUUAGCCGUCACCAUCACCACCGCAUGGGUGCGGCCUCCACGGCACGAAUCCGUCACUAGAUGAAGACGAAUUGAAACAUGACCUGUCCCCCACCGCAUGUCCCUGUUUAUGAUCCUCUCUUCCUUUUGGUUGAUGUCAGUGAUUUGAAUCUUACCCGCGCUUCUGAUUAACUCGUGAAGUACAAGGGAAAACAUGGUUGAAUUUCUUAGUAUGAGCCAACAAAUGCCAAAUCCCGUUUCUUGGUUUCCCUCUUUUCCAGAUUUAUUCUGUCCUAUUGAUGCGUGUGCUCUGUUUUUACAUGGCCGUGAUGAUAAACACUAUUAGAAAACAUGACAGUUCUGCUUCUGAUAGUUUAUGACAGAAGAACAAAAGAUCUGAGCCAUUAUGUAGCACAUCCAUCAUUAGUAAUCUUAUUUCGAUCUGAUUUUCGUAGAUGCGUAUCUAUAUUAUCAAAUUAGUGACUUGCAUUAGUCUCCUGAAACUUUUUUAAAUGUGAUAUUCCAAUGAUGCCAUGCCCAACAUUUGGAGGUGCGGACGUCUCGAUCCGGUAUUCCUGUUUACAGGAAGAACCUACCCGUAGUCCCUGUAUCCACUUGACAUUCACGGGCCGAGUCUGAAGAUAAGGAUUAACCUUUCACUGUAUGUUGCAUUUAAAUCUGUAGUCGUACAUUUCUGCGUUUUUUGGUUGCCGAGUUUAACUAUCCUCUAGCAAGUACCUCUGAUUUGUGGAAGAGACUGAUAAGCUCGGGAUAGCGCGUGUUGUCAUCAGCUUCAUCUCUUGUUCCUACAAGAUGGGAGUUAAAUAAAGACACAAUAUUUGAUUAGGUCGCAGCACUUUGCUUGAUGACAAAUUGAACUACUCCAAGUUGAAUUGUUUUGUUUAUGUGAGUUGAAUUAGAUAUAAUGAAUUUUGUUUUGGUAACCAUGGUUGUUACUUUCCCUCUACAUAAUCCAUCCAUUUAAUUUAUAUGCAUAUUAGCAUAACUAAGGUACGACUAAUUCAGAACUCUAAAAAUAAAUAACCAAACCAAUCGGUGGAUAUAGGCUUAUGCUCUGUUUGGAUGUUUGCAUUGGGGGGAUUGCAUGUUACAUUGGGUUGAAUGUCAAUAACUCAAGGUAUUGAUAUUGAAGUUGAAUGCCAAUAAUUUUGUUUGGAUGUUUAGAUAUUAAGAACCUGAACUUCAUAUUGAGGUUGAAUGUCAAAUGUUGUUUGAAACAUUUUCUUUAUAUCAUAAUCACUCUCUAAUCAUAGUCCACUCACAAAUCACAAUUUACAACACACACGCACACACUUCUCUCUCAAGGCCUCCACACCUGCAGAGUCAAAAACAAACAUCCCCUUGUCGAAGGGUGUGCUUGGUUGGUGCCCACACUAGGAUUCUAAGCUAACCAUAUGAAUCAGUUGACUUUCAUUGUAAAAAAUUAUUUGUUUUGCUACUAUAUAGAAAUGUUCAAUAGUGUAGAGUGAAUUAAUCAUUGAGGUGAAUAGGGGCAUGUUGAUCCUUAAAAAACGAUAACUUAGAAGAAGCAUCAUUCAUUCCCAAAAUAUCAACUUGGUUUGCCAUUUUGGUCCUCAAAGUUCUGAAAUUAUAUGACAUGAUACUAAACACUGCAUGGCUGUUGUUUGUAGGAUUGCGUAUGCAGGCAGCAUGCUGGUGACUGACUCUCCAACAGAAGAACGGUUCUUCUAUGGAGUGUGGCGGAGUCCCAACAAUCAGGAAUGGAAAAGUGGCAAUGGAUAUUGCAGGCCUAGCAGGGUUAGGAUCGUUGCCAAUCCUCCAGACCGGAUAUACUCCUUGUAAAAGCAGGUAGGUGCACUUGGAAGAUCGAUCCGAGGGUAUGGCGAGACUAGGGUGAUCAUGUCAUGGAACCAUCAUUGGGCACACCGUUUGAUUCUCAUUGUUACGACUUCUACAAAUUGUAUUUCUGGGAGCACAGUAGGAAGAGCAGGCUGAACUUGCAAAGGACCAAACUGUUGUAUGGAUUGUGAGAUGUAAGCUUAUAUGUUUAGGCGAUAAAUUGGGCAUGUCACUAAAAUUAGUCGUCCAUGUAUCAACUAUGAUCAUUGAUCACUUAAUCUUAUAUGCUUGGCCCCUGGUAUGCUUCCUAGGGCUUCUGCACA